UAGAGGAAGGAGAAGUCGUAACAAGGUUUCCGUAGGUGAACCUGCGGAAGGAUCAUUGUCGAUACCUGCAAAGCAGACAGCGAACUCGUGUUUAACAACGACGGUGUUGCGGCGUGGGGGCGACCCCCGUCGUGCACCCGUCUCUCCCGCCGGCGUGUUUCCUAGCGUCACGUCGUGCGGGCUAACGAACCCCGGCGCGGAAUGCGCCAAGGAAUACUAAACGAAGCGUCCGACCUCCCGCACCCCGUUCGCGGACCGUGUGGGGGUGACCGGAUGUCUUACAAAUGUCAUAACGACUCUCGGCAACGGAUAUCUCGGCUCUCGCAUCGAUGAAGAACGUAGCGAAAUGCGAUACUUGGUGUGAAUUGCAGAAUCCCGUGAACCAUCGAGUCUUUGAACGCAAGUUGCGCCCGAAGCCAUUUGGUCGAGGGCACGUCUGCCUGGGCGUCACGCAUCGCGUCGCCCCCUUCCCCGCGCUCAGCGCUUGGAAGGGGAGCGGAUAUUGGCCUCCCRUGCGCCUCGGUGUGCGGCUGGCUCAAAUGCGAUCCCUCGGCGACUCGCGUCACGACAAGUGGUGGUUGAACAAUCAAUCUCUUGCGUCGUCGUGCCGCCGUGUCGUCAGCACGGGCAUCACAUAACGACCCUACGGUGAAGGUGCCUCACGGCUCCACACCUUCGACCGCGACCCCAGGUCAGGCGGGAUUACCCGCUGAGU
This 715-nucleotide ribosomal RNA is filed under the name Salvia cacaliifolia. Its description in RNAcentral is "eukaryotic LSU rRNA". The stretch from base 295 to 450 matches the Rfam family "5.8S ribosomal RNA". The record is from RNAcentral. Lineage: Eukaryota; Viridiplantae; Streptophyta; Magnoliopsida; Lamiales; Lamiaceae.